Molecule: unclassified non-coding RNA, 234 nt
Filed under: plant metagenome
Description: partial contains small subunit ribosomal RNA, internal transcribed spacer 1, and 5.8S ribosomal RNA
Source: RNAcentral
UUUCCGUAGGUGAACCUGCGGAAGGAUCAUUACUGAGUGAGGGCCCACUGUGUCCAACCUCCCACCCGUGUUUAUUUUACCUUGUUGCUUCUGUGCGCCCGCCUCACGGCCGCCUGGGGGCAUCUGCCCCCGUGCCCGCGCUCGCCGAAGAAAACCUUGAACUCUGUCUGAAGGUUGCAGUCUGAGCGAAAACUAAAUAAGUUAAAACUUUCAACAACGGAUCUCUUGGUUCUG